AUGGAGCUGUUCCCGUCGCACCCGGACCUGCAGCUCCAGCUCCAAAUCAGUCCGCCCCCUGCCACCAAGCCAAUGGACCUAGGGUUUUGGAAGAGGGCUCUCGACACCACCGCCGCCGCCGCCGCCGCCGCGACCACGGCAGCAUCAGCGGGAGCUACCUUCGCACCUCCGUCCAUCGCCAGGACACACCCCUCGGUGCCGGCAGCUGCCGGCGGCGGCUUCCAUGCAGCGCACUACGGCGCAGCCGAUGGCCACCUGGGCGGGCUGCAGUUCUUGCAGCACACCCAACCCAUCCUCCACGAGGUGCAGGACCUGGCAGCGAUGAAGCCCAUCCGGGGCAUCCCCGUGUACAACACCUCGCAGUCGCUCCCCUUCCUCCAGAGCCAGCUCCACCACCACAACUACCACCACCAGCAUUGCUACGACGCGAUCGGCGGCGCGGCAGGCGGGCCGAGGUCGCCCGGCAAGGUCGGCGCGCUGCGGCUGGCGGCGCCGCCGGCCAAGCGGAACUCCCGUGCGCCCAGGAUGCGGUGGACCACGUCGCUGCACGCGCGGUUCGUCCACGCCGUCGAACUGCUCGGAGGCCACGAGAGAGCAACGCCCAAGUCGGUUCUUGAGCUAAUGGACGUGAAGGAUCUAACCUUGGCCCAUGUCAAGUCUCACUUGCAGAUGUACCGGACCAUCAAGACCACUGACCACAAACCAGCUGCUGCCUCAUCCUACGGACAAGCCAAGACAAUCAUCGACAUCCCUGACGACAGCUCCUUCGACAUCGCCAACACCAGCGGGUCUGAGUCUUCAGUCCAGCAAUCAAAUCUUGACGGGAACGAGCAUGGAUCCAACAUGUGCGCUCUAUGGAGCAACAACUCGAGCAGAGGGGCCUGGUCGUUCCACGGGAAAUCAAGAUCAGAUGCCAACCCAGGCGACAUCAAAUCCUUUGAGGACGUGCAAUCGCAGUGCCCCAACGUCGUCGCCGACGAUGCCGCCGACCUGAUGUCGGCUCCGUUCCGAUUGUCGGAGCUGGUCGUCGGCGCCAAGAAACCGAACCUGGACUUCACCCUAGGAAGAAUGUAA
Molecule: ribosomal RNA, 1074 nt
Filed under: Triticum aestivum (bread wheat)
Lineage: Eukaryota; Viridiplantae; Streptophyta; Magnoliopsida; Poales; Poaceae
Description: partial small subunit ribosomal RNA
Source: RNAcentral